This 402-nucleotide ribosomal RNA is filed under the name uncultured bacterium. Its description in RNAcentral is "partial 16S ribosomal RNA". It matches the Rfam family "Bacterial small subunit ribosomal RNA", at positions 338 to 754 of the family's 1533-position model. The record is from RNAcentral.
GCUACGGGUGGCAGCAGUGGGGAAUAUUGGGCAAUGGGCGCAAGCCUGACCCAGCAACGCCGCGUGAAGGAAGAAGGCUUUCGGGUUGUAAACUUCUUUUCUGAGGGACGAAGAAAGUGACGGUACCGCAGGAAUAAGCCACGGCUAACUACGGGCCAGCAGCCGCGGUAAUACGUAGGGGGCAAGCGUUAGCCGGAUUUAUUGGGUGUAAAGGGCGUGUAGGCGGGAAAGCAAGUCAGAUGUGAAAACUCAGGGCUCAACCCUGAGCCUGCAUUUGAAACUUUUUUUCUUGAGUGCUGGAGAGGCAAUCGGAAUUCCGUGUGUCGCGGUGAAAUGCGUAGAUAUACGGAGGAACACCAGUGGCGAAGGCGGCUUGCUGGACAGUAACUGACGCUGAGGCGC